This 393-nucleotide ribosomal RNA is filed under the name Triticum aestivum (bread wheat). Its description in RNAcentral is "partial small subunit ribosomal RNA". Lineage: Eukaryota; Viridiplantae; Streptophyta; Magnoliopsida; Poales; Poaceae. The record is from RNAcentral.
AUGCGUUCAUCGGUUGGACGCAACGGUCAGAUUUGCUCCGCGUGGACGGACAAUAGUCCUAUGCCCAAUUCAAACGCACAAAAUCCAGACACAUCGAUAUCUCCUUCCAAAUCUUGUUGUGCAGGCCGUUCGAGAGGGAGAGAUGGCGGAUCCCAAUGGGAAAGAUGGUCGUGUCGUCCAAGCCUGCGCUGCUGCGGGUGCUUCAGGGCGCUCUCCGCUGGCGCGGCAUGCCCAAUGCCGGAGAUGAUGUGUACGCUAGCAUCCACCUUCCGUCGGCCGCGCCCCAUGCAUGCUCACAGACUGCAGGGACGUCCGAUGCGGACGAUGCCUGACUAUCUGCAAGCUGAGAAUUAUUGUACUCCUUCCGUUUCAUAUUACUUGUCGCUGAUUUAA